RNAcentral lists this long non-coding RNA (632 nucleotides) under Citrus sinensis (sweet orange). RNAcentral describes it as "long non-coding RNA (CSIN_LNC002911)". Lineage: Eukaryota; Viridiplantae; Streptophyta; Magnoliopsida; Sapindales; Rutaceae. The record is from RNAcentral.
AGAACACGGGUUUCUUCCAGUGACUCACUGAACACUGUUUCAGAUUCAUUCCAGUUGAUGUCAAAAUCAGUAGAAGGAGUUCUAGCGGAAAAAUAUCCUGCAUACAAAGACCGGCACAAGUUGGCCUUAGAAAGGGAGAAGCAAAUUAAGGAAAAAGCAGAGAAAGCAAGAGCUUACAGGUUUCGUGACAAUUCAAAUUUUGACUCCAAACACCCUACCUUGCCACCAAAACUUGCUCUAUUAAAAGAGAAGCCAAUAGUUUCUGGUGAUUCAAGUGAUCAAUCACAUGAUGACAGGGCUGCUGAAUCUCAAACAAUAAGCAAAAUGAAAUUUUCCCAAAUUGAAAAGAGGCCUCCUAGAGUGUUUAGACCACCUCCUAAACCGUCUGGUGGUGCUCCUGCUGGUACAAAUGCAAAUCCUUCCAGUGGCACACCACCAGCUCCACCUCCUCCACCUGGUGCUACUCCACCUCCACCCCCACCACCGCCACCAGGUGGACCACCUCCUCCACCUCCUCCGCCAGGAAGCUUGCCGAGAGGAGUGGGAAGUGGUGAUAAAGUUCAACGAGCUCCUGAACUUGUUGAAUUUUAUCAGACAUUGAUGAAACGUGAGGCAAAGAAGGAUACAUCAUC